RNAcentral lists this ribosomal RNA (492 nucleotides) under uncultured bacterium. RNAcentral describes it as "partial 16S ribosomal RNA". It matches the Rfam family "Bacterial small subunit ribosomal RNA", at positions 29 to 507 of the family's 1533-position model. The record is from RNAcentral.
AGUGAACGCUGGCGGUAGGCCUAACACAUGCAAGUCGAACGGCAGCACAGUAAGAGCUUGCUCUUACGGGUGGCGAGUGGCGGACGGGUGAGGAAUACAUCGGAAUCUACUUUUUCGUGGGGGAUAACGUAGGGAAACUUACGCUAAUACCGCAUACGACCUACGGGUGAAAGCAGGGGAUCUUCGGACCUUGCGCGAUUGAAUGAGCCGAUGUCGGAUUAGCUAGUUGGCGGGGUAAAGGCCCACCAAGGCGACGAUCCGUAGCUGGUCUGAGAGGAUGUUCAGCCACACUGGAACUGAGACACGGUCCAGACUCCUACGGGAGGCAGCAGUGGGGAAUAUUGGACAAUGGGCGCAAGCCUGAUCCAGCCAUACCGCGUGGGUGAAGAAGGCCUUCGGGUUUUAAAGCCCUUUUGUUGGGAAAGAAAAGCAGCAGGUUAAUACCCCGCUGUUCUGACGGUACCCAAAGAAUAAGCACCGGCUAACUUCGUG